This 1300-nucleotide long non-coding RNA is filed under the name Sus scrofa (pig). RNAcentral's name for it is "lncRNA (ENSSSCG00065060009.1)". The record is from RNAcentral. Lineage: Eukaryota; Metazoa; Chordata; Mammalia; Artiodactyla; Suidae.
GUUUUUGUGUGGUUGUUUUCAAGUUUCAAGGAAAAUAUUGUAGCCCAAGAAUUGUCCCAGCCCAAAACUUCCAAGUUAAGCAAAAGGUCAUAAUAACUUUAUCUUCGACCUUGAAUAUUUUAGUAUGUUCUUUACUUGCUUAGUGAAAGCAUGAGUUAGAAAGUAUAUGUUAAUAUUUAAUUCCCAUCCUUUCAUUUCACAGCCUGUCUUGCUCUUUCGAGACUAGUGAAAGGGGCAGACAGAUAAAUGGUGUAUGCAAGUACACAUUUGUCUUUUAUUUGUAGGGAGAAAAAAAUGCACAUACGUAAACCUAAAAAUAAGAAUGAAUUAUCUGCCAGCCCACAAAAUUUUGUCACUGCUUUCUUCUGUUCAUUAGGAGUAGAGUUAGUUAAAAAUCUGUAUUUUAAAAUGUAGUGGGGAAUUAAAAGUCUGAAAAUGGAAAACAAAGAAGAAGGAGAAUGUAUACUAUACUCUGAUAAAAAGGAAAAGGAGGAAUUGUCCUAUAGCACAGUGGCUUAUGAAUCUGGCGUUAUCACGCAUCAGCUUGGGUUGCUGUGGUGCGGGUUCGAGCCCUGGCUUGGGAACUUCCACAAGCCUUGGGCAGGGCCAAAAAGAAAUAGGAAAACUGGAGAAAGUUAUCUCCCCUUUCUCAUCCUUCAUACCUACUACCCCCCAAAACACUUAUGAUUACUUCAAAGGAUACAUAUUUUCCAGAGCACAAGUAUACUCCAAAUAUAGUUCUAUGUAGAAUUCUCAGAUAUUCAUGCCACAACAUUUGAAAAAUUAAAAAGAAACAUGUAAGAAAUUAUGUAAUUCAGUCCUCAUAAUUUGAACAUAUCUGAAAGUUUGUAGAAACAAGCAUGAAUCAAAUAUAGUGUAUAAAGGAUGUUAAAUAUCCAAUAUUUCCUUUCCUAAUAAUAAUGCUUUGUGUCAUGAAUAUGAUUUAAUAUUACUGGAGAAAAAAUUUUAAGUGAGUUUGACAUUUUAUAUGCCUUAGAACAAUAAAUCAAAUAUAUCCUUAUAAUAAUAACUUUAACUGUUAAUAUACUAGUAUUCAUAACUUAAAAUAUCUAUUACACAUAUUCUGUUGCAUAGAGUUAAACAAUCUAUGGAGUGAUAUUUAUUUCCUUUUUUUUUUUUUUUGCUUUUUAGGGCCGCACCCGUGGCAUAUGGAGGUUGCAGACGCGGCUUGGAUCCAGUGUUGCUGUGGCUCUGGCGUAGGCCGGCAGCUACAGCUCUGAUUAGACCCCCAGCCUGGGAACCUCCAUAUGCCGCGGAGCGGCCCAAUAAAUAGCAAAAA